This 445-nucleotide ribosomal RNA is filed under the name uncultured bacterium. Its description in RNAcentral is "bacterial SSU rRNA". It matches the Rfam family "Bacterial small subunit ribosomal RNA", at positions 330 to 792 of the family's 1533-position model. The record is from RNAcentral.
CCCAGACUCCUACGGGAGGCAGCAGUGGGGAAUAUUGCACAAUGGGGGAAACCCUGAUGCAGCGACGCCGCGUGAGCGAUGAAGUAUUUCGGUAUGUAAAGCUCUAUCAGCAGGGAAGAAAAUGACGGUACCUGAGUAAGAAGCCCCGGCUAACUACGUGCCAGCAGCCGCGGUAAUACGUAGGGGGCAAGCGUUAUCCGGAUUUACUGGGUGUAAAGGGAGCGUAGACGGCAGUGCAAGUCUGGAGUGAAAGGCGGGGGCUCAACCCCCGGACUGCUCUGGAAACUGUACGGCUGGAGUGCAGGAGAGGUAAGUGGAAUUCCUAGUGUAGCGGUGAAAUGCGUAGAUAUUAGGAGGAACACCAGUGGCGAAGGCGGCUUGCUGGACGAUGACUGACGUUGAGGCUCGAAAGCGUGGGGAGCAAACAGGAUUAGAUACCCCUGUA